UACGUAGGGUGCAAGCGUUAAUCGGAAUUACUGGGCGUAAAGCGUGCGCAGGCGGUUGUGCAAGACAGGUGUGAAAGCCCCGGGCUCAACCUGGGAAUGGCAUUUGAUACUCGAGGGCUUGAGUACGGGAGAGGAGAGUGGAAUUCCCAGUGUAGAGGUGAAAUUCGUAGAUAUUGGGAAGAACACCGGUGGCGAAGGCGGCUCUCUGGACCGUAACUGACGCUGAGGCGCGAAAGCGUGGGGAGCAAACAGG
RNAcentral lists this ribosomal RNA (253 nucleotides) under uncultured bacterium. RNAcentral's name for it is "partial 16S ribosomal RNA". It matches the Rfam family "Bacterial small subunit ribosomal RNA", at positions 524 to 776 of the family's 1533-position model. The record is from RNAcentral.